Xenia sp. Carnegie-2017 is the source of this 440-nucleotide long non-coding RNA. RefSeq lists it as uncharacterized. Lineage: Eukaryota; Metazoa; Cnidaria; Anthozoa; Malacalcyonacea; Xeniidae. The record is from RefSeq and is a predicted model, not a curated record. The transcript has 3 exons.
CAUUCACUAUGGUAUUUGCUAUCUUUAGAACUAUGUAUUAUUUCUUUCUCUACAAUGUUGUCGCUUUUACAGGGAGUAAAAGCACGAAAAUAUUUAUAUGACAUGAACAAACUUGCUUGAUGACAACUUUGCUCAGUCAAAUACUUAUUAUCUAUCAAUUACGUAUUUACAGAAGUCUUGAUUUGAACUACAUUUAUGCGUUUAUUUGCUAAACCUAGUCUUCCCCAAUGUUGUUUUCUUCUUAUUUCAGACAUCCUAAUGUAAUUAUAUUGACAACAUCGAACAUAACUAGAGCCAUAGACGUUGCGUUCGUGGACAGAGCCGACAUCAAACAGUAUAUUGGUCCGCCAUCAGCCAAAGCUAUUUACAAAAUUUACCAUUUGUUUCUUUGUCGACAACGAUGUAACACACUGUAGUCUUGAAUUAAAGAAGAUAGCCGA